GUCUCUCUGUAUACUUCUUGCCCCAGAGGCGGCGCGGGUGCUUGGCCCUCUGACUCCCCACUGAACUCACCCCCAGGGAGGCACCAGCAGGACAAGAGGGAACUUAGCGCACGUGUUUAUCCCCUCUGUUCCUCCCAGGCCGCGAACGUCUGAUCGCCCCUUCUGGAUAUGUGGUUGGAUACAUUUGGGAUGUGAAGUAACAUAUAAGUGAACUUCAGCCUUCAGUGCAGAGAAGUCUUGGAGGAGUGUGGAGAAUAAAGGUCAAAAUCUGAGUGUGCAUCUCUGUGGUAACUGUGACUGCUGAUGAGGGCGUCGGGGAAGGAGCUGCUGACACCAGGUUUGAGCCAGUCUGCACUUGAUACCAAGAACACAAGACUGACUUGUCCCAGGAGGGACAGUAAGUCACAACACAAGCAGUGUGGACCAGAAGAAGAAUGCUCUGAGUACACCAACGGACGAUGCAGCUCUGCCAGGAGAACCCAGAGAUUCAUGGGAAGUUGUUCUACUCAUAAACUACAUCUUGCGAGGAAAGAUGACUCAUUGGAAAAGACCCUGAUACUGGGUAAGAUUGAAGGCAAAAGGAGAAGGGGGCGGCAGAGGACGAGGUUAUACUGUAUCGCCAACUCAAUGGACAUGAAUGUGAGCAAACUCUGGGAGAUGGUGAUGAACAGGGGAGCCUGGCAUGCUGCAGUCCAUGGGGUCGGUCUCAAAGAGUCACACCCAACUUAG
RNAcentral lists this long non-coding RNA (729 nucleotides) under Bos indicus x Bos taurus (hybrid cattle). RNAcentral's name for it is "lncRNA (ENSBIXG00005004800.1)". The record is from RNAcentral. Lineage: Eukaryota; Metazoa; Chordata; Mammalia; Artiodactyla; Bovidae.